RNAcentral lists this ribosomal RNA (420 nucleotides) under uncultured bacterium. RNAcentral describes it as "partial 16S ribosomal RNA". It matches the Rfam family "Bacterial small subunit ribosomal RNA", at positions 361 to 773 of the family's 1533-position model. The record is from RNAcentral.
AUAUUGGACAAUGGGGGCAACCCUGAUCCAGCCAUGCCGCGUGUGUGAAGAAGGUCUUCGGAGUGUAAGGCACUGUACGUUUGGAGGAAUGGCAGCAAGUUAAUACCUUGCUGUUUUGACGUUACCGACAGAAUAAGCACCGGCUAACUUCGUGCCAGCAGCCGCGGUAAUACGAAGGGUGCAAGCGUUAAUCGGAAAUACUGGGCUUAAAGCGCGCGUAGGUGGUUUGGUAAGUUGGAAGUGAAAGCCCCGGGCUUAACCUGGGAACUGCUUUCAUAACUGCUGAGCUAGAGUACGGUAGAGGGUAGUGGAAUUUCCUGUGUAGCGGUGAAAUGCGUAGAUAUAGGAAGGAACACCAGUGGCGAAGGCGACUACCUGGACUGAUACUGACACUGAGGUGCGAAAGCGUGGGGAGCAAAC